This 445-nucleotide ribosomal RNA is filed under the name uncultured bacterium. Its description in RNAcentral is "partial 16S ribosomal RNA". It matches the Rfam family "Bacterial small subunit ribosomal RNA", at positions 339 to 795 of the family's 1533-position model. The record is from RNAcentral.
CUACGGGGGGGCAGCAGUGGGGAAUAUUGCACAAUGGGCGCAAGCCUGAUGCAGCAACGCCGCGUGAGGGAUGAAGGCCUUCGGGUUGUAAACCUCUUUUAGCAGGGAAGAAGCGAAAGUGACGGUACCUGCAGAAAAAGCACCGGCUAACUACGUGCCAGCAGCCGCGGUAAUACGUAGGGUGCAAGCGUUGUCCGGAAUUAUUGGGCGUAAAGAGCUCGUAGGCGGUUUGUCACGUCUGCUGUGAAAAUCCAAGGCUCAACCUUGGACUUGCAGUGGGUACGGGCAGGCUAGAGUGCGGUAGGGGAGAUGGGAAUUCCUGGUGUAGCGGUGGAAUGCGCAGAUAUCAGGAGGAACACCAAUGGCGAAGGCACAUCUCUGGGUCGUAACUGACGCUGAGGAGCGAAAGCGUGGGGAGCGAACAGGAUUAGAUACCCGCGUAGUC